GAUGAAGAACGCAGCGAAAUGCGAUAAGUAAUGUGAAUUGCAGAAUUCAGUGAAUCAUCGAGUCUUUGAACGCACAUUGCGCCCCCUGGUAUUCCGGGGGGCAUGCCUGUCCGAGCGUCAUUGCUGCCCUCAAGCACGGCUUGUGUGUUGGGCCCCGCCCCCCGGCUCCCGGGGGGCGGGCCCGAAAGGCAGCGGCGGCACCGCGUCCGGUCCUCGAGCGUAUGGGGCUUCGUCACCCGCUCCGUAGGCCCGGCCGGCGCCCGCCGGCGACCCCCUCAAUCUUUUCAGGUUGACCUCGGAUCAGGUAGGGAUACCCGCUGAACUUAAGCAUAUCAAUAAGCGGAGGA
This 347-nucleotide unclassified non-coding RNA is filed under the name soil metagenome. Its description in RNAcentral is "partial contains 5.8S ribosomal RNA, internal transcribed spacer 2, and large subunit ribosomal RNA". The stretch from base 1 to 120 matches the Rfam family "5.8S ribosomal RNA", at positions 35 to 154 of the family's 154-position model. The record is from RNAcentral.